CCCAGCACUUUGGGAGGCUGAGGCGGUAGGAUUGCUUGAGCACAGAGGUUUGAGACCAGCCUGGACAACAUAGAAAGACCCCAUCUCUACCCAAAAAAAAAAAAAAAAAAAAAAAAAACUAAGAAGUAGCCAGGCAUGGUGAUGCACACCUGUAGUCCUAACUACUUGGGAGGCCGAGGCAGGAGGAUAGCUUGAGCCCAGUAGUUCAAGGCUGCAGUGAGCUAUGAUCAUGCCACUAAACCUCAGCCUGGUGACAGAGUAACACCUUGUCUCUAAAAUUAAGAAAUAAAAAUAAAAUUUGGGGGUUCAAUCCAGUAUCUAUGUGGGAUAAAAUAAAGUUUUGAUUCCUACCUCACACCAUACACACAAAAAUGAAUUUCAAGUGAAUUAAAGAACAAACAUAAAAUGCACACUAUAGAAGCAUUACAAAAAAACUGUAAGAUCACAUUUUGGUAAAUCUAGAAUAGAGUAGAAAUGAAAUGCAACACCUAUAAAGAAAAGGACUACAUACAUAUCUGAAUUAUGUACAACAACAAAAAUACAAUUUGAAAACAACGGAUUGGAACAAAAAAAUUUGCAACACACAUUGCCAAUAAAGAAUUAGUGUCCAGAAUUUAUAAGCAAUUUCAUAAGAAAACAGUAAUAAUCCUCUUUUUAAAAUAGGAGGAUGUGGAUAGGCAAUUUACACAAAGAGAAACAGGCACAAAGUAGCUAAAAGGAUACCCAACCUUGCUAGUCCCUGCACUAAGGGCUACCACCUCCAAACGGCUGUGGGGAAGAAAGGAGGAAGAGGCAAUCACAAAGUCUUGGUCUUGAACUCUUUUAGGAGAAUUGCCAAAUAGUGAUGAAGGAAAAGAACUUCAGUGGGCUAAAAGGAGG
This 879-nucleotide long non-coding RNA is filed under the name Pongo abelii (Sumatran orangutan). RNAcentral describes it as "lincRNA". The record is from RNAcentral. Lineage: Eukaryota; Metazoa; Chordata; Mammalia; Primates; Hominidae.